Molecule: RNA transcript, 2153 nt
Organism: Lotus japonicus
Lineage: Eukaryota; Viridiplantae; Streptophyta; Magnoliopsida; Fabales; Fabaceae
Gene name: transcription initiation factor TFIID subunit 8-like
Exons: 3
Source: RefSeq, a predicted model, not a curated record
GUUCAAAUCUCAAAAUCGCAUCGUGUCCGUGACCGUGACUGAGCCUAAUCCUCCUUCGCAAAUUCAACUUCUCCCUCUCUGCUUCCAAUUGCAUCUUCAAUCCAAGGCUUUUCAAGGGUUUAACAUAAACCCUAAAUUUCCCAAUUUCUUCUUCUAUACACUCUUACUGUCUCCGAAAUUGCAAGCCCACGCACUCUCACCCCAUGCCCUUAGAUCUAAUCAAGACUUUGCAGUCAUUGAAGUGACGUUGGUGAGGUGAGGUGAGGUUCUUGGUGGAGCAAUCUAAAGUUUGGGUUUUUUUGAUUGCGAUUUAUCUCUGAAGUGGUGUUGGUGGGGUUUUAUUCUUGGUGGGGUUUUGGGAAUGAAGAAUUGUAGUGAUUUGGGGAAUGAUUUGUCGGGUUUUCGAGUGAUAUGAAGUGCUGAAUAUGAGCAAUGGCGGUGGGAAGACUGGAAGACAACUUGAACAGCCUGCUGCCACAUGGAGGAGGAGGACAGUGGGUGGUGGUGAUGACUUUGCUCAAGCGGUUGCAAAGAUUGCAGUAGCACAAAUAUGCGAAAGUGAGGGUUUUCCGGCCUUUCAGCAGUCAGCUCUUGAUGCAUUAUCUGACAUUACUGCUCGAUUUAUUUUGAAUGUUGGGAAGUCCGCACAUUCCUUUGCUAAUCUUGCUGGUAGAUCUGAAUGCAAUGUUUUUGACGUCAUUCAAGGGUUAGAAGAUAUGGGAUCAGCACAUGGGUUUGGCGGUGCUUCGGAUGUUGAUCAUUGCCUUGAAAGUUCAGGUGUUGUUCGGGAAAUUUAUCAAUUUGUUAAUGAGGGUGAACCCAUUACGUUUGCGCACCCAAUACCUCGAUUUCCAGUUGUGAAAGAACGGGUGCUGCCUCCAAGUUUUUUGCUAAAAGGAGAAGAGCCACCCGGGGAGCAUAUUCCAGCAUGGUUGCCCGCAUUCCCUGUUCCACAAACUUAUUCAGAGUCACCGUUAGGGAAUGGAAGAGGGACAGAGCCUUGUGCUUCUAAAUUUGAUCAAGAAAGAGAGAAUGGCAAUGGGGAGAGACCUCUGUUGCAGCAGCAGAUGGUCUCAAAUAUGUUUGAAAAGUCCACCGUGACUGACCCUGCAGAUGCUAAGGCGAAAAGAGUAGCAACAGAAAGCAACCCAUUCUUUGCUGCACCUUUGAAAUUUGAGGAGAAGGAAGUUGCUUCUGUUGCCCCUCCAACUAAGCUCUUCAAUGGUGUUGUAGCUUCUGAUAAUCCUGUGGUGGAAAAUUUCGUUAAAAAUGACUCAGUUUCAGUAUUGGAGACCUUUGCUCCUGCGAUUGAGGCCAUGAAAAGCACAUGCUGUGAUUCCAAGGAAGAUCAAACACAUUUUCCUGUGAAUGAGAAGCCUACUGUGCGUUUUAAGGUUGGGAUUAAAAAUAAAUUCUUAGGAAGGUCGGUUGGCUUGAUUCCACAAAAAGAGGAGCAUAAAAAGACUUUGCCGUGGUUUGCGAUGGAAGAUGAGAAGGAUGAUAGGAAAAGAAGGGCUGAGAAAAUUCUGAGGGAAUCUCUGGAAAACCCAGAUCAGCUUGUUCAGUUGUAAAUUAGAUUCUGUAUACUUGAUCAGGAGAAUGUCAGGAUAACUAGUUCUGAGACGUUGAAAUCUAGCAAACUGUCUGCUUAUGGGCAUUAUAGGAUGGAUUUUCUAUUUUGCUAAGACAUGUUCCUACUUUUACAAUCUUUCAGCUGUUGUCUGCUCUACUCUAUAGUUGCCUAAGAGGCUUGCUUUGGUCUGUUGAGGAGAAGAUCGAUAAAAUAUGAGUCGAAUGGAAGAUCUGAUAUUUUUUCAAAGUGGAUUCAUUGGAUAGAUUCCAAUGAUGUUUGUGUUUUAUGUUUCUACCUCCUUGACUCCUAAUGUUUUCCUCAAAUUUCGCUUGACAAGGCUUGGUUAUUGUUACGGUUGUGUGUUCUACUGUUUUCAGUUGAGAUGUGCCUUGAACUUGCAACAACUUGUAAAUUUUUGUUUUCCAGUAUUACAGAUUGUAUUCAUUCUGUCAGAAGGCAUAUUCAUGCUUCAACCAAGUCCUAGAUUAAGGAAUAAUUUCUGGAUUGGAUUAAUUUUUGAAUGUUUGUUCAGAUAACUAAAAUUGUCAACAUGAUUGCCCAGCAAGAUUCCUCUUACCAA